CGAGAUCUACAACUGCGUCGAGCUCGUCAGCGUCUAUCUCUUUCAGCUGGCACCGUCCACCUCGCACAGAUCCAGGAUUGCCGAGGCUUACAACUCGUGCCUCAUGAGGCAGAACUCGAGCAGCAUGCUGGAAGAAGCCGAAAGGAACGAUCGGAAGGAGCUCAUGACUCUCGCAAUGAGCCAAGAGCCGGGAAGCCUGACGACUGAGACAGAACGAGCCAAAGAGAUACUCUGCUCCAUGCUCCUGGGAAACAAGUCAGUGAUUAACCACAAGGAACUCAAGCUGACAACACACCUGGGACAAGGAGCUUACGGAACCGUGUACGAAGCAAUCUGGCUCGGUCACAAGUUUGCAGUGAAAGUCUUCCCUCAAGGUGACACCAGCUUCGCCAAAGAGCUCGCGGUUCUUGAAGCGGACAAGCAUCCCAACGUGUUGCACAUCGCCGGCCAUUGUUUCGAUGAAGAGAAGCAGCGGUACUCGCUGGUGAUGGAGAAGAUGGAGAUGGACCUGGCAAACUACCUCCUCAAGAAGAAGAACUCUCUCCCGUUGCUGUCGAUCGUGGCAGUGAUGCUCCAAGUUGCUACUGGCAUGGCCUGGCUUCACUCGAAGAAUAUAAUCCACCGGGACCUCAAGCCGCAGAACAUCUUGGUUGGCGAAGAAGACAACGAUCUCGUGAGUAUCAGGAUUGCCGACUUUGGAGUCUCGAGGCCAAACUUCAUCUCCUCCCAGAUCGAAGCCGUUAGCAUCCAAGGCACCAGGAACUUCAUGGCACCGGAAGUGUGGAGCGGCGAGCGCUACACGAAGAAGGCCGACGUUUACAGGUACGGGAUGCUGAUUUACCAGCUUGUCACUGGAAACGUUCCGUUCGAGGACGGGAUGGACAUGGAGCAAGUCCUUCGAGGCGAGCGUCCUGAGGUACCAGCAACCUGUCCAGCAUGCGGGAAUGCUGGAGCCACGAUGCAAAAGAGAGGCCUUCCUUCUCGGAUAUCUGCGAGCGGCUGAAGCAGCUCAAGACCAGGAUCAUCACUGGCACCGACUCCAUCGACAAGUUACGAGCCAAGUUGGUUGCAGCAGCCAGGUCAUCUUCCUCUUCUUCGUACUCGUCGUCUUCCUCGUCCUCGUCGCACAGCAGGACUCGAGUGAACCUGGAUUCUCCUGUCCAAGCACCUGAAGGGCUUUCAACCCAAAAUCCUCCAUCUCCCGUUGUCCAGGUAAACUCUUUUGGUUUUAGUAACUCCACCUUUAGUUUCAGCCGGCACCACACCGUCCUCAGCACGUCGCACCAGCAGCAAAGCCGGAUAACAGGGCCGAGCUCUUCGAACUGGUGAAGAACGGCCUCGUCAAAAACGCCUUUGAGAAAGCUCUGUCCCUGAACGAUCCUUCCACGGUCUGGUGGCUUUGCACCAAGGUAAUCCAUUCACGUCCUCCAGCUGCUCAUCAAAGCUUUGUCAGCUCAGUUGGAGGUUAGCAUCCUGCCCGCCUUCAGUGAAUCAAUGCUCAUGGAAGUGGCCGAGCAAAUCAACACCAACUUCAAGGAAGACACUGCUCGCAGGUUGCUCUGGUUCGCCGAGAUCCUGUUCAUCUUGCUGUACGUCAACGUCAAUGGACAGACAUCACCUCGGAUGCAGAGGAUCUUGGAGGAGCUUUCACAGAACCUCCACGGCAUGAUGGCUAUAACACCGUCAAAGAGCGAGCUGGGGACGGAGCUGGCGGACGUGCUGAAAAGAACCAACGUGGGUCUUCGGGUUCGUAUGAAGCUCUUCGUGUUAUUCGUUUGAUUCAAAUCGUUUGUCGUCGCAGCGUAUCCGAUAUGGGAACAAACUUCAGAAGAAAGGGAAAAGAAAACUGUGAAAUAAAAAAGCUAUAUAUUUCCAGCGGAACACCGGUAGUUUAUGAGUAUUGAGAUGUUCUAAUUUUCUGCCUGCCAAAAGUAUCAACCAUGCUUCACGAAAGAACCAUAAAGAACUUACCAAUUCCCAUUCGUAACUUCGUCUCAUCCUGCUGGGGAAAAUGUGAAGGAAACUUACGAGAUAAAUAUCAAAGCACAAAGGUCUCACCAUUCUUUACUUCUUAAACUCGAGUAGACGGUGAAGAUCCCAACCUUUUCUAUCUGGCAGCAGCAGUAGCAGCCUUGGCAGCUUCCGGAUCAUCGCUCUCCGCUCAAAGAACGAUUUUCCAGAAACUUCAUGGCACCAGAAGUGUGGACCAGCGAGCGCUACACGAAGAAGGCCGACGUUUACAGCUACGGGAUGCUGAGCUACCAGCUUGUCACUGGAAACACUCCGUUCAAGGUCGGGAUGGACAUGGAGCAAGUCCUUCGAGGCGAGCGUCCUGAGAUACCAGCCACCUGUCCAGAGUUCCUGUCGCAGCUCAUGCGGGAAUGCUGGAGCCACGAUGCAAAAGAGAGGCCUUCCUUCUCCGAUAUCUGCAAGCGGCUGAAGCAGCUCAAGUCCAGGAUCAUCACUGGCACCGACACCAUCGACGAGCUACGAGCCAAGUAGGUUGAAGCAGCCAGGUCAUCUUCCUCUUCUUCGUACUCGUCGUCUUCCUUGUCCUCGUUGCACAGCAGGACUCGAGUGAACCUGGAUUCUCUUGUCCAAGCGACUGAGAAGCUCUGGACCCAAAAUCCCCCGCCUUGUCGUGUCCAGGUAAACUCUUUUGCUUUAUGUAACUUCUGGAGCUCACCACCUUUGGUUUCAGCCGGUACCACACCGUCCUCACCAGGUCGCACCAUUACCAAAACCAGAUCAAAGGACCGAGCUCUUCGAACUGGUAAAGAACGGCCUCAUCAUAAACGCCUUCGAGAAAGCUCUGUCCCUGAACGAUCCUUCCAGUCUGGUGGCUUUGCACCAAGGUAAUCUGUUUACGCUCUCUGGCCGCUGAUCACGCCCGUCCUUUGUCAACUCAGGUAGAGCAUACCGUGCUGCUUGUCUUCAGUGAAUCGAUGCUCAUGGCACUGACCGAGAAAAUUAACACCAACUUCACGGAAGACACUGCUCGCAGGCUGGUCUGGAUCGACGAGACUGCCGUCUUGCUGUUCAAAGACGUCAAUGGAUGGGCAUCACCUCGGAAGAUGAGGAUCCUGGAGCAGCUUUCAUAGAACCUCCACGGUAUGAUGGCCAUAACACCACCAAAGAGUGAGCUGGGCAUGACCUUAACGAACAUGCUGGAAGGCACCAACGUGUGGCUGGAGGUUUGUACAUAUGAAGCUCUUCGUUUCUUUCGUUUCCAUCCAACAAACCUACAUCGUUUUGUUGCAGCGUGUCCGGAUUGCAGUGGAACAAAGUUCGAUACAUGAGCAUCGUUGGCAGAUACUCUCCAGCGGAACACCGGUAUUUUCUGGAUGUUGAUGUCCUGGCAUAAAACAUGAUUCACCUUACCCUGUACCGCUUAUCCUGCCUGCAAAAAUUACGAGAAAAAGAAUGAGCUCACCUGUUUUCUACAGCCGUGACCUCUGGCAAGCUGAAGAUCUUGCUCUCCGAGUGAAAUCGCUUGCUUGCUCGCCUAAACCCUAAUUUCGCUCAGUUAAUGUUUUCUUAAAUUCUCACAUUCACAGCCCAACAAAACCACCGGGGGAUGUAUGUGAUAAAUUGCUUCUCUAUUUAGUUCUGGUCAAGUAGAACAAUCAGCAUCAUCAUUGUCUUUUACCAUGUUUAUUGUGCCUAGCAGCAUCACUAAUGUAUGUCAGAAAAUUAUGCAAAAUGCAGCAAGUGUAAAUAACAUUUAUAUCUGGAGGCUGUAUUCUAUGCUUAUGUUCCAAGAUUUGGAACUUACAUGUAUUAGAUAGAAUGAAGCUAAAUUAGACAUAUCCUUAAGAAGCCAAACGCAAUGCAUAACUUCUUGCGCUGUUUGUUGCCAAAGUUAGUUGCAUUGAGAUGUGCUAACUGUUGAAAUGGCAUCAUGAUCCAUGGACUGUGAGGAUGUAGUACAUCUGAGAUCACUGUACGGCUGAGACACGUGGUGACACGUGGCGGAUUCACAACUCUCACCUGUGUAUGUAUAGCGAUGAUGAUAAAGUUUUCGGUCUUCCUCCUCCAUUCAGCCCACCAUGUUUAAAACUAAGGAAGAAAAUGAUCUGAAUUGCAAAAAUCAAGAUGGAGGUUUUCUUGUUUAGGCAACCCUAAACGGUUCUCCUGCUGCUACAAGGGAAGGCUUCCUCAGGCUGGAGAUUUGCUGAUGAUGCCAAGAGGCUUCUCUUCUUGCUGGGCACUAGGCGUGGAAUUUCUGUGCGUAAAGGGCUUUGACGCUGAUGGAGAGAUCACAUUUGGGUGGGGGAGAUGGAGCAAGAUGCUAGUUUCUGACGGGUCCUGAUACAAGCUGGGCUGUGUGCAAGCUUGGGUACCUUGGAACGUGCUGCUGCUGUUGUUCAACACCACAAGAUGCUGAUUUCAUGAGCUCAGCUUUUCUCAUUUUACCAUUAGUGUAACAGCAAAACAUACCUGCAAGCCCAUAAACGCCUCCUUGAGCUCCGUAAGUUAAAACUUUCACGUAUUUCUCCUUCUUGUCCUUCUCCUCUACGAGCAUUUCAUAGAUCUGUCCACUUGCAGUUGCAAGCACAAUCUCUCCUGAUGAAUCUGCAUUGUCAUGAAAUUGACUUCCUUAGCAGCACAAGCAGGCAGUGGAAAAUCUUCACUACUUACAGUCGCUUAGCUGGGACUUGUUCCAGCAAACAGCAUUGACGAGCACGCCUUUGAGCCGAGAAACAGCACAAGCUUUCUUCCAUUUCGCAUGGAUGUACAAGGUCUCGGCACCACUGCUGCUCCGAAGAUUUGCUAGACAGUGCCUUCCACUGGGAUCCAGGAAAACCUUACAAACGUAUUGAUCGGCUCCGCGGCUCAACUCCAACUCUAUCGGAUCACGGGAAAAAAGCUCACAGUUUUCAGAAGAAACAAAGAAAGCGAGCGUGAAUUUUCCUUGAUAUUUUUGGAGACUCACCUAAGUUAUCCUCGCCUCCAAAAUCAUGACAAACAAUCCAGCCGCUGCUAGUACCGACGAGCAGGACAUUGUUUCCAGCGGCUACUGAGGUGACAAGCCGGUGACCUUUGGCAGCGGUUUGCUCCAGGACAUCCAAGCUGAAGAUCUUGAUCUCUGGCCUCGACAGUGAAAUCGCCUGGAACUAGGAAUUGAAUCAGCAAUCGACCAUCCAGCUCAAUCUCACCUCGUUGAGCCCCGAUUGAGCGGGUGAAGACACGUCCAUUCAUCGGUGUAAGAAUUAUGAACCUAAUGUAAAAAGGUAAAUUAGAUUUCGUUUGACCAUAUAUAUGGUAAUGCUAAAUUUGCUGUCACUUAUAAGUUUGAAAAUUAAUUAACUAUAAAAUGGUGCUAGGUUAUGAUCAUAUGUUUAAAAUAAUUUCUAUUAGCAAAUCUAAACACUUUCCUUAAAUAGUUAAUUUAACCAAAUGUGUCUUGGCAAAUAUAAUACUUGCCAGUACUUGCCCAGCAAAUGCUGGGUGGUUUACAAAGAGGUGGAUGCGCCAGAAAUAUGUUUCUUACCUGAACUCAAGCACUUGUAUGUAUCUUUCUCAUUUUCUUGGAGGUUUUUGGACCUGUUGUCCUUCAGGUUACUGGACAAUAAUGGCUUCUCUGGAGAAGUUCCCGAUGAAAUUGGAAACUUUUCCAAGCUGACCAUCAUGUAAGCCGUUGAUGGCUAGAAUACAAUCUCGUGUAAUAGUGUAUUUUCAGGAGACUUGACAAAAAUCGAUUUGCUGGAUCACUGCUGAGCAGUUUGGGGCGGAUAUCAACCCUCUUUGAAAUUUAAAUAGCUAAUAUGGUAACUACUUUGUACUCAAGUUUUGUUUCAUUUACAGACACAUCAAUGAUAACGCUUUUACUGGAACGUUACCUGAUCUAAGCGGGUUGAGAGCUCUCCAACUAAUGUAAUAUUUCUUCUUAAUUUGGAGUUGACCUGAUGCAUGUGUGUAUGCAUAACAGAAGCGUUGGAAACAACUCCUUUUCUCCUCAGCCAGUUCCAUCAUUUGCAGGCUUGAUUAAACUCUGGACAAUGUAGGUGAAUUUUGUUAGUUUUUGUUUGAACUUAACAUGUCAUUAAUGAUCCAAGUUUCUUUUCAGACCAAACUUGAAAACAAUGGGAUGAGAGAGGCUCAAACUCUCGACCUCAGGAUUUCUCAGCAGCUAUGAGACCUACGCGCUGACCAACUGCGCCACCAUUUAUUUUAACAUGAUCAUUCUAAACAAAUUUAUCUUAGGAUUGAUUCUGGAAUGCUGACUAUAAUGUCAUACAUCUAUCCACGAACUACAGUUUUAUCCAUGGGCUACUGCAACAAACCGAUUGAUGCCAGCUUUCCCAUCCUUUCCCAACACUUGCUACACAUCAUAGAAUACAAAGAUAUUCAAACUUACGACUUAUAAACCAGGCGAUGCUUGCGGUGGCUUCUCCUUCUCUUUCGAGAGAAACCAGACAUUAGUGCCGUGUCAGAUUUCCAAAACUUCAGGAGCAGUGUUGGCUAGCCACUCGACAGCCCUACGUCAACUCGAAACACCUGGUUCCUACAAACGGAGUUGGUCCCGAGCAUGUGCUGAAACAACAAUCCCUCACCAGGAAGGGAUGCCUCGAGAGAAUCCGGGGUUGAAGAGGGAGUGUCCUUGAUAAUUGCUUUCCUGUAGGCUCCUCCUCUGCUCGAUGAUCUUUGGCAAAUUUACAUUCGUUCUUCCCUGUCCGUCCUCACGCUGCUUGGCUCGUUUUCCUCAAGUAGCUCUCAAACGCGUCCAGCGUGUGGACAUCGGUUCUAUAGUGCUUCUGGGUGAAUUCUAGCAGCUGCCCCCAAGUAAACUCCACGCACGGCCUCUUGCGAUCUUGCUCUUCGUCUUCUUUGCUCUUGACCACCAGCUCUGGAAUCGGCCGGAUCACCAUGUCCAGCCCCGGGUUGAUGAAGAAAACCAGCGAGUGCCUGGCUCGGGUGGCAUGGAUCACUGCGCGGUGCUUGGCACUCUUGUAGCGAUGGUUGCACAGUGCCUGUGACGAAGAGAAAGCUGCGUGAGAGAUGUUUUAUAAAAAGAAAAGGAAAAAAGAAGAGCACCACCAUCUACAACCAGCUAUAGCGCUGCGAGGAGGGAGAGGAGAGGGAAGAGCAGAAACAAAAGAAUUCUCGCUCUGUUUACCUGGAAUGUGUCACCGAUGCUGAUGACAAACGCAUCGGCACGGGGCUCGACUGUGACCCAAGUCUCGGGAAUGAAGAGGGAGUGUCCUUGAUAAUUGCUUUCCUGUAGGCCAAAGAGCUCGUGAGGCAGUGGCGAACAGGGAUCAAAGCUUUGCUGAGUUGGAGAUGAGCCAAUGUUGAUCCCGAGAGGAGCCUGGAUUGUGUGCCCGACUACCAUUCUGCUCGCCCCUGUUACUAACCACGCACAGGCUCUCACAGGAAUGCCCACACAACCGAGCAGCCAUGGAACCCUAGGAGUGCAUGGCAUAACACCUGUCACCACGCCCUCUUCCCUUCCUGGCCACACGUGCAUCCCACCCAUUGGCCGCCACAACAUUAAGCCCAUAUUCCCGCUAACCAUGGCCAUUGGCCAUGGCCCGAGCCUAGGCUGGCCUCCCCUUCCCGAGGACCAUGGCUUCCGAGGCUGCCCCGGGCCCGGGGAUCGGACGGCUGCGGGGGUGUGGGUUCUUCGUUCUUAUUAUUAUAGAUGUUUAAAAUAAUUUCUAUUAGCAAAUCUAAACACUUUCCUUAAAUAGUUAAUUUAACCAAAUGUGUCUUGGCAAAUAUAAUAAAUUAUUACAUAAUGAAUACUGAAAGGCUGAGCUUAAUAUCAAAGGGGUUCCUAACACUAGUAAAUGUAAUUUAACCAUAUGAAUUUCAUAUUAAAUAUGCUAUAUUAAAUGAUAAUUUAGGAUAUCAUUCUUUUGUGCCCUUCUAAAUUAUCUACAUGUAUACUGACUAGCCUCUUAACUAGUGUGGGUGGAAACUCUAGCAAUAUCAACUUCCUACUAUCAUGGUAAUAAAAGAAAAAUAUUUAGAAAGACUGAUAGGUAAAGUUUGAUGCUCACAAUCACAUUUGCAAUAGUGAUACACCUCAAAAUAACUUUUUACAUAGCUUAACUUCAUGUUAAUCAUGUUAACUCCUUCCACUUUGUGCAAACAUUUGUCCUUUAAAAAAAUCUUUUUAUUUCCUAGAAUUAAUUUCCUCCUCUUACCUUAUAUGAAAGCACAUUUUGGGCUUUUACCCAGCCUUAGGAGUUUCUCUCUAGGACAAUCACAAAAAUUUAUUAAAUAUAAAAUGAUGUUAGAUUGUGAUUUUGGAUAUGGGAACAACACUAUUAUGUUUAAGAUAAUCUUUAAAUCUGUAAAUAUGCCCAAUUAACAAAUCUAAACACUUUUCAAAUAAGACCAAACGAGACCAACACAUAAAGAAUGAUAUCAAAAGUAUCUUGACAAACACAGUAAACUAUCACUUAGCAAAUAUAGAGGACCAAGCUUCACAUUAUAAGAGUUCCCAAUAUUAGCAAGUGUAAAUCAUCACACUCUAGGAGGCAACAAGAGCUCACUAACAAGACUUAAGUUUGCUUUGGAAUUUGAUAUGCAAAGCCAAUAGCAGUUUAGCCAACUUACCUCAUUAAUGUCAAGUAGAACACCAUAUAAAGUUUGGUAUAGCAUUAAACUGAAUGUGAGUCUUUGCAAGUGGUGUUCAGGAACCACAAGGUUCAAAGAUGAUCAUUAGUUGUCAUAUUUAAUGAGUCUAGGACAUAUACAACACAAGAUCUUUAACCACUGAAACAGUUUUCCUUGACUGAAGUCAAAAGGGACAAUUAGGGCACAUAUAAUAGUGCAGUUGGAGGUGAGGAUGGUGACAAUGAGGAUGAUGCAUCAAGUGGGGAUGGUGUUGGAGACAGCAGCAAUAGUGGAUCCAGUUGGAGUGCCAAUAUGGCAAAUCCAUUGGUUGGGACCUUGAGCUACUAACAAGGAGGAAAGUCAUAAGAAUGAAGUUCCCCUUGGAAGAAGCAAUGGGUGCAGACAGCUUAGCUUAAGUGGGAAUAUUAAGGGAAUGUUCCAACUUCCCUCAAGACAAGUUGACUCUGGCACUGUCUCAAGAGCUCUGUGUGGGAGGGAUCUUGGAGAUAAGCUGCUCGUCCAUGGCUUUGAAAGAUGCCCUAUUGAGCUUGGGGAAAGUCUAACAAUGAGAUAAUUGCUGCAGUCCUUGUGAUGGCUUGUGAAUCAAAAGACACUAGACUUUUGAUGAUCUUGCAUGACAGAUUAGUGUCCGAGACCUUAGAGAAGUUGAAACCUCUUACAAUUUGGGCAAACACUCCACAUUUCCUAAGACCCAUUUUGUAUAUCCAAGGUGAGCACUAUGUAGACCAGCAACAGAAGGAGCAGUGAACAUCUUCUUGAGAUAUUUUACUUGCUAGAUUUAAGUAUUAUUAAUUGAGAAUAAAUAAAGAAUCUACUUUUCUUUUGCUAAUCAAGAGCAAAACACUACACUCACACUUUGGAAAGGAUAAAAAUUAAAUGUUUCAAUUUUGAAACCAAUACCAAGAUUUUGGAAUGCACCAGGCACUACUAGGUUUUUAUUAUAAUUUGAUUGCUCAACUAAUCAAACCUUUAUUAACAUCAAUAGUAAGGUUAACUAACAACCUCUACUGAGCCAAAAUUUAUCAAUCCUUCUAUUGUGUAAAUUAGUUAUUUUAUAACAUUUAUGGACAAAAAAUGGAUCCUAAUGCAAUACAGGUGGAUAAUUAGUUAUUUCAUUUAUAAAAGGAAGAACAUAGAUAUAAUAUUUACAAUUUCAAAUUUAAGGGUAGAAAUAUACAUUGCUCAAGGGUAUGUUAUAUUUUAAAUAGCAACUGAUGAAUAAAUUUGUGACCAUCUUCUCUCACUACUGUCAUCAAGAGCCUACACAAUUUUUCUUGUCUGAUUAAAGUAUGAUUCCGAGACAAAAAAAAAAAUUUACCUUAGGACUUAGAAUUAUUCAAAAAGAAAAGUCCACGGUAGACUUUUCCCACGCUAUACCUUUACAAGAAUGGUGCGGUGCUGGUAGUGAUCACCAACGGGCAUGGCAGCAGCGACUUUGCUCGAGGCAAUUCGAAUCGUGGACAAGCUUUGCACAAUAUCCACUUCCAGCAAGGUCUGUAGAAACCAACAUAGGAUCCUCAUCGCGGCGGUCGGCUAUGUCCGAGACUACCUCAAGCAAAUCCAGGAUCUCAACUUCGCGAGCAACGGGCCAGCCUUCGUGUGGGACGAAACCGUGGCUGUCCUUAACAGAGGUCUCCAUCUCCUCAAGUCGUGCCAAGAAGGCAAUUGGAUCACGCGGAGCCUGCUGUUCGAGGAAAGCUGCAAUGAGUUUCAGAGCAUUUAUCCCGAGAUCUACAACUGCGUCGAGCUCAUCAGCGUCUAUCUCUUUCAGCUGGCACCGUCCACCUCGCACAGAUCCAGGAUUGCCGAGGCUUACAACUCGUGCCUCAUGAGGCAGAACUCGAGCAGCAUACUGGAAGAAGCCGAAAGGAACGAUCGGAAGGAGCUCAUGACUCUCGCAAUGAGCCAAGAGCCGGGAAGCCUGACGACUGAGACAGAACGAGCCAAAGAGAUACUCUGCUCCAUGCUCCUGGGAAACAAGUCAGUGAUUAACCACAAGGAACUCAAGCUGACAACACACCUGGGACAAGGAGCUUACGAAACCGUGUACGAAGCAAUCUGGCUCGGUCACAAGUUUGCAGUGAAAGUCUUCCCUCAAGGUGACACCAGCUUCGCCAAAGAGCUCGCGGUUCUUGAAGCGGACAAGCAUCCCAACGUGUUGCACAUCGCCGGCCAUUGUUUCGAUGAAGAGAAGCAGCGGUACUCGCUGGUGAUGGAGAAGAUGGAGAUGGACCUGGCAAACUACCUCCUCAAGAAGAAGAACUCUCUCCCGUUGCUGUCGAUCGUGGCAGUGAUGCUCCAAGUUGCUACUGGCAUGGCCUGGCUUCACUCGAAGAAUAUAAUCCACCGGGACCUCAAGCCGCAGAACAUCUUGGUUGGCGAAGAAGACAACGAUCUCGUGAGUAUCAGGAUUGCCGACUUUGGAGUCUCGAGGCCAAACUUCAUCUCCUCCCAGAUCGAAGCCGUUAGCAUCCAAGGCACCAGGAACUUCAUGGCACCGGAAGUGUGGAGCGGCGAGCGCUACACGAAAAAGGCCGACGUUUACAGGUACGGGAUGCUGAUUUACCAGCUUGUCACUGGAAACGUUCCGUUCGAGGACGGGAUGGACAUGGAGCAAGUCCUUCGAGGCGAGCGUCCUGAGGUACCAGCAACCUGUCCAGAGUUUCUGUCGCAGCUCAUGCGGGAAUGCUGGAGCCACGAUGCAAAAGAGAGGCCUUCCUUCUCGGAUAUCUGCGAGCGGCUGAAGCAGCUCAAGACCAGGAUCAUCACUGGCACCGACUCCAUCGACGAGUUACGAGCCAAGUUGGUUGCAGCAGCCAGGUCAUCUUCCUCUUCUUCGUACUCGUCGUCUUCCUCGUCCUCGUCGCACAGCAGGACUCGAGUGAACCUGGAUUCUCCUGUCCAAGCACCUGAAGGGCUUUCAACCCAAAAUCCUCCAUCUCCCGUUGUCCAGGUAAACUCUUUUGGUUUUAGUAACUCCACCUUUAGUUUCAGCCGGCACCACACCGUCCUCAGCACGUCGCACCAGCAGCAAAGCCGGAUAACAGGGCCGAGCUCUUCGAACUGGUGAAGAACGGCCUCGUCAAAAACGCCUUUGAGAAAGCUCUGUCCCUGAACGAUCCUUCCACGGUCUGGUGGCUUUGCACCAAGGUAAUCCAUUCACGUUCUCCAGCUGCUCAUCAAACCUUUGUCAGCUCAGGUGGAGCAAAGCGUCCUGCUCCUCUUCAGUGAAUCAAUGCUCAUGGAAGUGGCCGAGCAAAUCAACACCAACUUCAAGGAAGACACUGCUCCCAGGUUGCUCUGGAUCGAGGAUAUCCUGGACAUCUUGCUGUUCGUCGACAAUGUCAAUGGACAGACAUCACCUCGGAUGCAGAGGAUCUUGGAGAAGCUUUCACAGAACCUCCACGGCAUGAUGGCUAUAACACCGCCAAACAACGAGCUGGGGAUGAAGCUGGCGAAAGCGCUGGAAGAUACCAACAUGGGUCUUCAUGUACGUAUGAAACUCUUCGUGUUAUUCGUUUGAUUCAAAUCGUUUGUCGUCGCAGCAUAUCCGAGUUGAGAACAGCAAAGCUGAGAAGAAAGGGAAAAGAAAACAGGGACUUAUGAUGUGAAAUAAAACAGCUAUAUAUUUCCAGCAGAACACUGGUAGUUUGUGAGUAUUGAGAUCUAAUUUUCUGCCUGCCAAAAGUAUCAACCAUGAUUCACGAAAGAACCAUAAAGAACUUACCAAUUCCCAUUCGUAACUUCGUCUCAUCCUGCCGGGGAAAAUGUGAAGGAAACUUACGAGAUAAAUAUCAAAGCACAAAGGUUUCACCAUUCUUUAGUUCUUAAACUCGAGUAGACGGUGAAGAUCCCAACCUUUUCGAUCUAGCAGCAGCAGUAGCAGCCUUGGCAGCUUCCGCCGCAGCGCAGACACCAGUAGUUCUCGUAGGAUCAUCGCUCUCCGCUCAAAGAACGAUUUUGCCGCUUUCAACUUCUCGGGAUCCCCAUACUUGUAUGGCUUGUAGACGAUCCCGGCAGCUAGCCGUUGCUUCUUGAGCUUGGCUGGACGAACGUACGCAUCGCCCAGCUUGGCCUUCAAGCGCUUCUGGAUCACUCUCCUCCGGUACACUUGCGGCUCGGGAAUCUUGGGAUCGGCGAGCGGCAGGCGAUCCGGAGGAGGCACAGCAACCCACCUGAAAAUCCGAUCGUUCGCGUGACCACCACCACCGCCUCCCGCUUUGUUGCGCUUGCCCGGAUUCUUGGAGCCGGCGCCCUCGCCGUGCAAGCACUGCGUGUGGACGAGGAAUUUGCUCCGGAGCCACACGAGCAAGCGCCUGCUCUUGAUCCCUUCCUUCGCGUGAGAUUGCGCGAUCCAAUCGGGCCAUAGGUGCGAACAUUCUGCGUCGGCAGAUCCUUGGGGCUCUUCUUGGCGUAGACCUCGUGGAUGUAGAGGCGCAACGAGCGAGCUCCACUUCAAGAACCCUAUCGAAAUAUCGAUUGCAGAACAGAAUCGAACUAGAACAAGAACAGCAUGAUCCAUUUCUAGUCUCUCGUAAGUCCACGAUUGACGAGGUCGAGCGCGCAACCUGUGCUCGCUGCGCCAAGAAGAAUCCGAAAGACAAGCCAAAGUUUCUGGACAGGCGCUCAAGACGUUACGUGCAAACCACUGGUGGGGAUGCAGGAUACUGUCGUCAAACGCUAUGCUACCGGGAUGCGAGAGUGAACUAGCAGGGCGGAAACUAGGGUAUCCUGGCCGUCCAAUCCUAAACAACCUGUUUGGAGUACUGAAACAAGAAAAGCCAUUAACCUGAUUAAAGUAUCCCAGACAAGACUUAGGACUUAGAAUAUUCAAAAAGAAAAGUCAACGGUAGACUUUUCCCACUCUGCAAAGAAAUGGAGCGGCGCUAGUGGUGAUCACCAACGAGCAUGGCAGCAGCGACUUUGCUCGAGGCGAUUCGAAUCGCGGACAAGGUUGGCACAAGAUCCACGAACACAAACUCGAGCAAGGUCUGUAGAAACCAAUGUAGGAUCCUCAUCGCAGCGGUCGGCUAUGUCCGAGACUACCUCAAGCAAAUCCAGGAUCUCAACUUCGCGAGCAACGGGCCAGCCUUCGUGUGGGACGAAACCGUGGCUGUCCUUAACAGAGGCCUCCAUCUCCUCAAGUCAUGCCAAGAGGGCGAUUGGAUCGCCCGGAGCCUGCUGUUCGAGGAAAGCUGCGAUGAGUUCCAGGGCAUUUACCACGAGAUCUACAACUGCGUCGAGCUCGUCAGCGUCUAUCUCUUUCAGCUGACACCGUCCACCUCGCACAGAUCCAGGAUUGCCGAGGCUUACAACUCGUGCCUCAUGAGGCAAAACUCGAGCAGCAUGCUGGAAGAAGCCGGAAGGAACGAUCGGAAGGAGCUCAUGACUCUCGCAAUGAACCAAGAACCAGGAAGCCUGACGACCGAGACAGAACGAGCCAAAGAGAUACACUGCUCCAUGCUCCUGGGAAACAAGUCAGUGAUCAACCACAAGGAACUCAAGCUGAGAACACACCUGGGACAAGGAGCUUACGGAACCGUGUACGAAGCAAUGUGGCUCGGUCACAAGUUCGCGGUGAAAGUCUUCGCUCAAGGUGACACCAGCUUCGCCAAAGAGCUCGCGGUUCUCGGAGCUCACAAGCAUCCCAACGUGUUGCACAUUGCCGGCCAUUCUUUCGAUGGAGAGAAGCGGCAGUACUCGCUGGUGAUGGAGAAGAUGGACAUGGACCUGGCAAACUACCUCCUCAAGAAGAACUCCCUCUCGUUGCUGUCGAUCGUGGCAGUGAUGCUCCAAGUCGCUACUGGCAUGGCUUGGCUUCACUUGAAGAACGUAAUCCACCGGGACCUCAAGCCGCAGAACAUCUUGGUUGGCGAAGAAGACAACGAUCUCGUGAGUAUCAGGAUUGCCGACUUUGGAGUCUCGAGGCCCGAUUUCAUCUCCUCCCUCAUCAGCGAAGCCACCCCCAAGCAAGGCACCAGAAACUUCAUGGCACCAGAAGUGUGGACCAGCGAGCGCUACACGAAGAAGGCCGACGUUUACAGCUACGGGAUGCUGAGCUACCAGCUUGUCACUGGAAACACUCCGUUCAAGGUCGGGAUGGACAUGGAGCAAGUCCUUCGAGGCGAGCGUCCUGAGAUACCAGCCACCUGUCCAGAGUUCCUGUCGCAGCUCAUGCGGGAAUGCUGGAGCCACGAUGCAAAAGAGAGGCCUUCCUUCUCCGAUAUCUGCAAGCGGCUGAAGCAGUUCAAGUCCAGGAUCAUCACUGGCACCGACUCCAUCGACGAGCUACGAGCCAAGUAGGUUGAAGCAGCCAGGUCAUCUUCCUCUUCUUCGUACUCGUCGUCUUCCUUGUCCUCGUUGCACAGCAGGACUCGAGUGAACCUGGAUUCUCUUGUCCAAGCGACUGAGAAGCUCUGGACCCAAAAUCCCCCGCCUUGUCGUGUCCAGGUAAACUCUUUUGCUUUAUGUAACUUCUGGAGCUCACCACCUUUGGUUUCAGCCGGUACCACACCGUCCUCACCAGGUCGCACCAUUACCAAAACCAGAUCAAAGGACCGAGCUCUUCGAACUGGUAAAGAACGGCCUCAUCAUAAACGCCUUCGAGAAAGCUCUGUCCCUGAACGAUCCUUCCACAGUCUGGUGGCUUUGCACCAAGGUAAUCUGUUUACGCUCUCUGGCCGCUGAUCACGCCCGUCCUUUGUCAACUCAGGUAGAGCAUACCGUGCUGCUUGUCUUCAGUGAAUCGAUGCUCAUGGCACUGGCCGAGAAAAUCAACACCAACUUCACGGAAGACACUGCUCGCAGGCUGGUCUGGAUCGACGAGAUUGGCGUCUUGCUGUUGAAAGACGUCAAUGGAUGGGCAUCACCUCGGAAGAUGAGGAUCCUGGAGCAGCUUUCACAGAACCUCCACGGUAUGAUGGCCAUAACACCACCAAAGAGUGAGCUGGGCAUGACCUUGACGAACAUGCUGGAAGGCACCAACGUGUGGCUGCAGGUUCGUACAUAUGAAGCUCUUCGUUUCUUUCGUUUCCAUCUCCUUGAUUCACAUCGUUUUGUUGCAGCGUAUCCGGGUUGCUGUGGAAAACAAAGUUCGAUACAUGAGCAUCGUUGGCGGAUAUUUUCCAGCGGAAUACCGGUAGUUUCUGGAUGUUGAUGUCCUGGCAUAAAACAUGCUUCACCUUACCCUGGCCAGCAAAACUUACGAGGAAAAGAAUGAGCUCACCUGUUUUCUACAGCCGUGACCUUUGGCAAGCUGAAGACCUUGCUCCCCAACUGAAAUCGCUUGCUCGCUCGCCUAAACCCUAAUUUCGCUCAGUUAAUGAUCGAUUCCAGCCUGGAUUUGAAUUGAAAGGGUUGCGGCACUGCUUGCUGCCGCUGGAGACGAUCUGAUGUCCCUGCUGCUACAAGGGAAGGCUUCCUUGGGCUGGAGAUUUGCUGAUGCUGCCAAGAGGCCUCUCUUCUUGCUGGGCACUAGGCGUGGAAUUGCUGUGCGAAAGGGCCUUGAGGCUGAUGGAGAGAUCACAUUCGAGUGGGGGAGAUGGAGCUGGUUCCUGACGGGUCCUGAUACAAGCUGGGGUGUGUGCAAGCUUGGGUACCAUGCUGCUGCUGCUGUUCAACACCACAAGAUGCUGAUUUCAUGAGCUCAGCUUUUCUGGCUGAGUGGGGGAGUGAGAUAGGGUUCCCAGUGGUUUAGCAUUAGUUUCUUUUUUUUUUAGCCUUCGCAUACUGAUCUCGGAGCAAUAGAGUUUUUUUCUUUUCUUCCUUAGUUUUCAACAUGGACAACACAAGUAGCCUGUGAAUUAAUGAGGUACAAUAGAAGAGGAUCUAGCCCAGCUUGAUUAGGAAUUUCCACUGUUGGAGCUUACAUGAUCUCUUUUUGUUGAAGACAUGAAAUGCUGAAUUAAGCCAUACUGACAGUAUGUAUAGAAUCUGGCCACCUGCAACAUAUGUCAAUAAGCCACUUUCUACUGGUGAUGAUUACUUACAUAACAAAGCUAAAUCAAUGGUGCUUGACAUACACCCCAGGAUCUUCAUCUUGCUCCAUGAUCUCAAGUACAACAUUUGGAAGCUUGCAUGUGAGGAAACCCUGGAUAACCACAGCGAAAUCUUCCAAGAACUUGAUAAGUCUUCAAGAGUAUCAACGAUUGCCUUACAAGUCUCAUUCCUAGUCACAGUACUUUCGCUGAUUCUGUAGAGCUCUAAGAGUGUGAUAUACUUCUGCUCCGUUUCAUAGCUUGUACAAAGUACAAGCAACCCAGAUUUGCACAAAAACUGCUCUACGAUAGCUGGUAUCUUGCUUUCGAAUGUGAUGGUGUAGGAGAUGCACAAUACUAUUAAAUGUUGUCUUUCAUGGGCUUGAUAUCUAGCCUGAAUAAAGAACUUGCUCUAGCUCGUCAAACAUUUCUUGCAUGAUCCUCAUUUGUAGUUUCUCUGGGAUCAAAGCUUGCUUCCCAGCCUCAUCAAGGUUGCACAUCAGUUACUCUUGUUAUAUUUUUCUACUCUACUGUGAGAAGCUUCACUAAGAUGCACUCCCACUUCUUGGCUAUCGANNNNNNNNNNNNNNNNNNNNNNNNNNNNNNNNNNNNNNNNNNNNNNNNNNNNNNNNNNNNNNNNNNNNNNNNNNNNNNNNNNNNNNNNNNNNNNNNNNNNACUCCACCAAUAGAGGUUUACGACACCCAACACCACUAACUUUUGUUCACAACACGGACAAGCUCAUGCCACUCUCUUUCCGACCAAACUCAACACUAAUCCAACACCAAGCUACUCAAGGAGCAAUAGCAAGGUUCCCCGGAAAAGAAUUGAGCAUUGCAACCCAAGUCUUUCAAUAGCGAGCCUAGACAAAAUGGUUUAGUGUUUCACCACUAUCCAUCCCAUAACUCACCACUUGUAAGACCAUCACUUCCAACAUGCAUCAAGGUAGGGACUCUUGAUUGCAUAAUGUGAACACAAGCAAUGAGUUAACACCUCAUUGCAAAUCAUCUCUCCAAGAAGAGAAAAUGAUUUACGUAUUUGAUCCUCCGUCCUCGAUGACUCUCUUUUCGGUCUCAUCUUUGACCAAACCUCAAGCUUGCUUUCGCACUGCCUUCAGUUCAAUCGAAGAAAAGUUUAUGAGAGAGCACGGCAAUGAUUACUUGAACCAAUAGACUAUUCCCUACAGUCUUGACUGAUCCAAUUAUAAUCAUGCCUAGGAAGGAUCCACUAGUGCCGUGCUAAACAGCUAUGGACCAGCCUAUUUGCCACUCAUAGCAAACUCAGGGAAAGUUUACUUUCACCCACGGUACAUGGAACAACUCAUGGAACCACUGGAACCAUCGAUAGGCUUACAUUAAUCCUGCCAACUUAAAGUGUAACCUCAAGUUGCUAAUGCGCCUCACUCACGAGCCCAAGCUCAAACUCGUGCAAAUGGAACAUCUCCAAUCCAUCCUAUGAGCCCAAGCGCAAGCUCACAUCAUAAGGUACAACAAGGUAACCCAAAACCUAUCCCAAGGAACCAAUGCGAAGUCUUUGCACCAAAACGUGUACCCACUCGGAUCAUCGUUUUCAUCUCUGCGUAUGCAACGAGACUAGUUGCCCAAUCUCAUUGAAUAGUACUCGCUGAGACUCAUCCUCUGAUACCAAAUGUAGCGCACGUGGUUUUGACCCUUUAUCCUAUGGUGAUUUACCAUAGGAUAACACCACAAAGCGGAACCUAAACCCUCUUUGUGCCACGUGACAGAUGCCACGUGUCACAUGCCACGUGUCCAUGCCACGUGUCCAUAGAAACCCGAGGUUCAGGGCCUUGGGCCACUGAACGAAGGAACGGUGCCAAACUCCCAAGCGUGGAGCCAAGGAGUGAUGGAACCGGACCACGGAGCAACUCCCGAGCAUACAGCCCAAGGAGCGAAGGGACAGGAGCCCGGAGCGACUUGGAACAGUCCUAGAGCAACCAGCAUCCCAAUGCCAGGACCAGCACGCAAAACGGAGCCAAACAGAGUCUGGCGCUAUUUCGGCAUACCGGUGGCCUAACGCGAGGAUAUGGGUACUCCACCAACUAGCAUGGAAUGGAACUUGGGCUUAGACCCAAGCCGGACGCAGAACAAGGACAGGCACGCAAGCGGGAGCUAGACUAUGCCUCAGGUUGGUCGGCCAUGCCCGACCUACCCACUAUCCCUACUAUACAUUUGGAACCCCCCACAGCCCCCCCCCCUUGAGGAACACACGCUUUGGGCUUUCACCCCAAGCCUCCCUUAGUAUCAGGAGUUAGUCUCUGGGACAAACUCGAAACUUACUAAAUAUGGAAUGUCCUUAGAUUGCGAAUUUGGACACGGGACAAACACCAUUGUGUUCAGGCCGAUCUCUACAUUCUGUAGAUAUGCCAAAUGAGCAAAUCUGGACACUUUCCAUAAAUAGCAUUUGGGACCGAAAUGAGACUAACACAAAGGGCAUGAUAGCAAGGGUGUUUGGCAGACACGGUAAGCUAUCAUCUAGCGAUGUUGAGGGACCAAUCUCAAUAUCGCGGGGGUUCUUGAUACUAGCAAGUGCAAGCCAAUGACACAAGUUUCUCAAACCAGGCCGAGUAUGCUCAGCAAGAAACACAUAGGGUUCCUACCUUAUGUUUAUCCAAUCUAAGUGCAUGUUCAUUGACCAGUUUCUCAACUAGUUCAAGUGGGAACUGAUAACGGGUCCAGCAAUACCGACCUCCUGCCAUCGUGGCAGUAAGGUAAGAGUGUCCGUAAGGACUGGCCGACAGGUAACUUUCGAUACCUGAAGUCACAUUCGCGACAAUGAGACUCAAGCUCUAAAUCUUACUUUUCACGUCAUACAAUAUAAAAUUGUGUUCUAGGCUCCAUUGCCCCACUAUAUAAGUUCUAAAAGAGUUAGCAAACAAAUUCUAACACAUUGAAUUGAAUCCUUACAUUUCAAUGGCAAUCAUUACACCAUUUGUAGUGAUGAAAACUCUAACUAGUGCAUGUUUUUAAAGUGUUGGUGCAAUUUCUUUUAAUAUCUCCAUUUCAAUAGGAUCCUCCACCAGUGGUGUUUUUAUGUGAUUUGUAGUGGAGUUGAUUCUUCCACAAUUUGUAAAGGACCAAGAUCUUGUUGAAAAAAUGCAUAUGUUUUGUGGAUCUGGGGAAUAGAAUAUAAUAUGGUCCUCGAUAUUGAAGCCAUAUGUACAUGAAUAACAUGCCCAUUCUAAGCCUAAAAAUUCACAAUACCCACCUCAAUAGAGCAUGAAUGUUUCUCUUAGGAAACAAAAAUAAUAACAAAUGUGUCAAUAGGUAGAAAUUUAUUAUGCCACCCACAAAUUAGUAUUCCCGUACAUGAAUUAGAACCAUGCAUGGUUGAUCUAUAAAUAUUGCCUCUAAAUCUCCAUUUACACUUUGCAUAAAACACAGGUUCAUAUUGUUUACUAUAUAUUUUAAAGCUUAUCAGCAAAAGACUAGCUUGAAAGUAUGUUUGCGUGAGUGUGGUCAUGUAUAUGUAUAGGUUGAGCAAAUUCAGCAAAGUGGAGGGCAUCACCCAUAUGCCCCCUUCCACGUCAUAUAAACACAUGCAUAAUUGACACAUAAAGAAUCAUUACAACCACUUGUGUAUAACUAUAACAUUCCAAUGCCCCACAAUUAUGCUCACUGCAAUGAGCAUAAAACUUAUACCAAUGAAAAAAGCUAAAUAAAUGAAAAAUUACCCCACACAAUAACUAUCUCUAUGUAUUGCAAUAUGCCCAAGAAAAGAAACAAAAAGCCUUGACCAACAAUCUAAUAUAAACUCCAACCUUAAGUCCACAAUCAAUGCAAGAACAAUGCCUAUAUCACGUGGGAAUAGCACAAUAUGCCCAAAACACAAAGGAACGAGAGUUACAAGUAUUUGCAAUCUCACUUAACCUUGAUCAAUAUAUGCUAAUCUUCAAGUGCCAACAUCACUCCUAAAUAGCACACAUGAAAGAAUGGAAGUCAUAACUGCUUGCAUACAAAGACCUCUCACCCAAACCCUAAUCAAUGCAUGCUCCUACUCUUCAUCACACCCACCAAUAUGUAAAAUUUGCUUUUGAAGCAUAUCAUGCCCACAUCACACCUAAGAUUGUGGGAAAGCUGUUGUUCUUGGCUGGAUAUAAAGGAAGUGCAAUACUAAAGACAAAAAAAACUUCACUAGAUUUUUUGUGAUGUCUAUGUGGCAGGUUUAAAUGGCAUACAAAUCACAUUUUAAUCAUAUAAAAUGAUGUACUUUAAAUUCUGUUGAUUCCAUAUCAUCAUAUUUUCUUGUAGUGUUAGUGAUAUAAAAAACAUAUUUAACUUUACUUUUACUACAUAGGCCUUGCAAAACACCUCUGAUAUCUUGGAUCAAACUUCCAUGCUUAGUCACCUAAAACAGUACUUUUAGAAGUUCAGACUCUUAAACAACUUUAAGUAGCCUUUUAUGGUCUUAUUAAACGUAUUAUUCCCCAGGAGUAAUGGAUAUUUCUGCACACCCACAUUGGCAAGUUGCAUCAAACACAAUCACUUAGCAAGUUGGCCUCAAACACAAUCACGUUUCCCCAAUAACUAGCACAACUCCACCAAAAAAAUAUCAAUAGCAUUACCCCUUGAUCUUGCCACUAUGGAGAACAAAACGUGCCAUGAUACUAGUUUAUAUUUUCGAAGCGCAACUACACAUGAAAUUCGAAAAGUCAACAAUCAUUUUCCAGGAUAUAGCUUUCUAACAUCAAUCGGCGCUGGUGGUGAUUGCAUGGCAGCAAAAAGUUUGGCCGAGGCAAUUCGAAUCUCGGACAAAGUUGCCGCAAGGUCCACGAACACAAACUCGAGCAAGGUCUGUAGGAACCAAUGUAGGAUCUUCUUAGCAGCGGUCGACCAUGUCGGAGACUACCUCAAGCGAAUCCAGGAUCUCAACUUCGCGAGCACUGGGACAGCUUUCGUGUGGGACGAAACCGUGGCUGUCCUUAAGAGAGGCCUCCAUCUCCUCAAGUCGUGCCAAGAAGGCAAUUGGAUCGCGCGGAGCCUGCUGUUCAAGGAAAGCUGCGAUGAGUUCCAGAGCAUUUAUACCGUCCACCUCGGUAAGAUCCAAGAUUGCCGAAGCUUACAACUCGUGCCUCAUGAGGCAAAACUCGAACAGCAUGCUGGAAGAAGCCGGAAGGAAUGACAGGAAGGCGCUCAUGGCUCUCGCAAUGAGCCAAGAGCCGGGAAGCCUGACGACCGAGAGCGAGCAAGCCAAAGAGAUACUUUGCUCCAUGCUCCUGGGAAACAAGUCAGUGAUUAACCACAAGGAACUCAAGCUGACAACACACCUGGGACAAGGCGGUUUCGGAACCGUGUACGAAGCAAUCUGGCUCGGUCACAAGUUUGCAGUGAAAGUCUUCCCUCAAGGUGACAAGAGCUUCGCCAAAGAGCUCGCGGUUCUCGAAGCGGACAAGCAUCCCAACGUGUUGCACAUCGCCGGUCAUUCUUUCGAUGAAGAGAAGCAGCGGUACUCGCUGGUGAUGGAGAAGAUGGACAUGGACCUGGCAAACUACGUCCUCAAGAAGAACUCUCUCCCGUUGCUGUCGAUCGUGGCAGUGAUGCUCCAAGUUGCUACUGGCAUGGCGUGGCUUCACUCGAAGAAUAUAAUCCACCGGGACCUCAAGCCGCAGAACAUCUUGGUUGGCGAAGAAGACAACGAUCUCGUGAGUAUCAGGAUUGCCGACUUUGGAGUCUCGAGGCCAAACUUCAUCUCCUCCCAGAUCGAAGCCGUUAGCAUCCAAGGCACCAGGAACUUCAUGGCACCGGAGGCGUGGAGCAGCGAGCGCUACACGAAAAAGGCCGACGUUUACAGCUACGGGAUGCUGAUUUACCAGCUUGUCACUGGAAACGUUCCGUUCGAGGACGGGAUGGACAUGGAGCAAGUCCUUCGAGGCAAGCGUCCUGAGAUACCAGCCACCUGUCCAGAGUUCCUGUCGCAGCUCAUGCGGGAAUGCUGGAGCCACGAUGCGAAAGAGAGGCCUUCCUUCUCGGAUAUCUGCGAGCGGCUGAAGCAGCUCAAGACCAGGAUCAUCACUGGCAUCGAGUCCAUCGACGAGUUACGGGUCAAGUUGGUUGAAGUAGCCGGGUCGUCUUCCUCUUCUUCGUACUCGUCGUCUUCCUCAUCCUCGUCGCACAGCAGGACUCGAGUGAACCUGGAUUCUCUUGUCCAAGCGACUGAAGGGCUUUGGACCAAAAAUCCUCCAUCUCCCCUUGUACAGGUAAACUCUUUUGUUUUUAGUAACUUCCGGUGCUCAUCGUGUUUAGUUUCAGCCGGUACCACACCGUCCUCAGCACUUCGCACCAGUAGCAAAACCGGAUAACAGGACCGAGCUCUUCGAACUGGUGAAGAACGGCCUCGUCAGAAACGCCUUCGAGAAAGCUCUGUCCCUGAACGAUCCUUCCAUGGUCUGGUGGCUUUGCACCAAGGUAAUCCAUUCACGUCCUCCAGCUGCUCAUCAAAGCUUUGUCAGCUCAGGUGGAGCAUACCGUCCUGCUUGUCUUCAGUGAAUCAAUGCUCAUGGAACUGGCCGAGCAAAUCAACACCAACUUCAAGGAAGACACUGCUCGCAGGUUGCUCUGGAUCGACGAGAUUGGCAUCUUGCUGUUCAAAGACGUCAAUGGACAGGCAUGGUCAUCACCUCGGGUGCUGAGGAUCUUGGAGCAGCUUUCACAGAACUUCCACGGCAUGAUGGCUAUAACACCGCCAAAGAGCGAGCUGGGGAUGAAGCUGGUGAACAUGCUGGGUGGCACCAACAUGGGUCUCCAGGUUCGUAUGAAGCUCUUCGUGUUAUUCAUUUGAUUCAAAUCGUUUGUUGUCGCAGCAUAUCUGUUAGGCACCAGCUUUGACUACGUGGUCAACAUCGGUCAAAGGGUAUAUGAAGGCAUGUUAGGGUAAGGGACUUAACUUACCCUAGGGCUCACAGUGGAGUGGUGGUGCAGUGGAACUUUUGAGGUAGCUCAGGGGUGGUUGGGUGGUGAGGAACCUCAAGAGGUGGCAUAGCAUAAUCUAGGGCAACUAGAUUUUUGUCUUUUUGCGCCGGAUCAUAACAUUGGUAUCAGAGAAGUUGGUUGCGAUGGCCGACCAAGCUGAACGCUGGAAUCCUAUUGUCGAUGGUGGUGCCAACAAUGGUGCUGACGAAGCUGCAGAGAUUUAGACCAUUCAAGAUGUGGUUCAUGAGCUGCGAGCCCUUAACCGAAAUCAGUAAGAGAUGCAAGAUGAGAUGCAUGGCAUGAUGGAUACCAUGCGUGGGCGUGUUGAGGCACUCGAGGCUGGACGGGGUAGCGCUCCAAGUAAACCUUCUUUGGUAGAUCGACUCAAAAUUCCAAAUUUUUCCGGUGAUGGUGGUGUGGACGAGUGUCUCGCUUGGCUAGCCAAUGUGAAGAAGUUCUUGGCUGCUAGAGGAACUCCAGAUGCAGAGGCUUUAGUGGCUAUUCCGAUGGUUUUGCGUGAUGCGGGUUUUCGAUGGUGGAAUUGGCUUGAGGAGUCCCGUGUUGUGGAUAAGAAACCACCAGUGUCUACCAUGGAUGAGUUUGAGGUUGCUUUUCAUUUAUGUUUUGCCCCUCAUUACGACAUGGAGAAUGCUCGUACAGAACUUUGACAUUUUCAGCAAAGGAAAAUGAUGCUCGGGGACUAUAUUGAGAAGCUUACUUGCUUGAUUAGUCGUGUUCCAACGAAGGAUCCAGAUCAGAACAAGUCCUACUUCAUUGAUGGCCUACAUAGUGAGAGCAUGCGGCAACACUUGCGUCAUUCUCAGCCUACAAAGAGUUUGAAGGAGCUCUUUGAUGUGGCUCGUCGACUUGACAAUGAUAAGCACAAGUCUCGCAAGCGUUUGCGGAGUCCUUCUGUCGAGAAUCGUCGUGAUGAUCACCAUGGACACAAGGAUGGGAACAAGCAUCACAAAUUGAAGUCAGUGGUGACUACUUCGGAUGCAAAGGGGUCCAAGAAGUAGAAGUUCUUUGUGAAGAAUUAUAGACAAGGUUGUCAUCAUUGCGGCGAACUUGGACANNNNNNNNNNNNNNNNNNNNNNNNNNNNNNNNNNNNNNNNNNNNNNNNNNNNNNNNNNNNNNNNNNNNNNNNNNNNNNNNNNNNNNNNNNNNNNNNNNNNNNNNNNNNNNNNNNNNNNNNNNNNNNNNNNNNNNNNNNNNNNNNNNNNNNNNNNNNNNNNNNNNNNNNNNNNNNNNNNNNNNNNNNNNNNNNNNNNNNNNNNNNNNNNNNNNNNNNNNNNNNNNNNNNNNNNNNNNNNNNNNNNNNNNNNNNNNNNNNNNNNNNNNNNNNNNNNNNNNNNNNNNNNNNNNNNNNNNNNNNNNNNNNNNNNNNNNNNNNNNNNNNNNNNNNNNNNNNNNNNNNNNNNNNNNNNNNNNNNNNNNNNNNNNNNNNNNNNNNNNNNNNNNNNNCUUGUGUCGAGGGGCUGGAAGUGUUGGUUGGCAAAACCACACUUGUGGAGACUUUUUAUCUCACGGAUAUCCAUCGUGUGGAUCUCAUUCUUGGGAUGCCAUGGUUGGCAAAGGUGGAUCCAGAGAUAAAGUGGAGCAUUAAGCGUAUCUCGCUGGAGUAUGGUGGCGUUAAAGAUGUGUGGUUUGGCGAGGGCGUUCAACCACCAGUUGUUAUGCUCUCUGCUACAUCUUUGAAACGGGCUUGUCAUAAUAAAAAAGCACUUUCAAGUUACUUGCUGUUUGUUCGUGACUUGGGGGACCAAGGCACGUGUGGGGGAGAAGCAGCAGUACAGGAUAUAUUUGACGAGUUUUCUGAUGUUUUUCCAUAUGAACUUCCUCAUGGAUUACCUCCGUUACGAGGUGUGGAGCAUGGGAUUACAUUGGAGUCGGGGAUGCGGCCAAUUUACCAGUGUCCAUUUUGGUUAAGUUAUGCGCAGGAGCAAGAAGUUCAACGACAAGUCAAGGAGUUACUUGAGUUUGGAUUUAUUCAGCCAAGUAAGUCUCCGUUUGGUGCUCCAGUCUUGCUUGUGAAGAAGAAAGACGGUUCAAUGCGGUGAAGGACAAGAUUUACCGUGCUUUAAACAAGAAGACAGUGAAGGACAAGAUGCCGAUGCCACGUGUGGAUGAUAUCCUGGACAAGCUUGGUGAAGCACGAGUGUUUACUAAGAUUGAUCUGAGGAGUGGAUAUCAUCAGAUUGCAAUGGAUGAUGCAUCUAUCUCCAAGACGGCAUUCAACACAAGUUUCGGACAUUUUGAGUUUACCGUUAUGCCGUUUGGUUUGACGAAUGCACUGGCCACAUUUACUCAGUUGAUGACGGAGGUAUUUGGGCGUUAUCUUCAUGAGUUUGUGAAGAUUUUCUUGGACGAUAUUCUUGUUUUUAGCAAGAAUAUGGAGGAGCAUAGGGUGCAUUUGCGCAAGGUUCUUUUGUUACUUUGAGAUAGCAAACUUUAUGCGAAGAAGAGCAAAUGUGAAUUUGCAAAGUCGGAGGUGGAAUAUCUAGGCCAUAUUGUGACAUCUAAGGGUGUCAAGACAGAUCCAGGAAGGUGGCUAUGGUGGAAAACUGGCCUACACUGACUACAGUGGCCGAGUUGUGCAGUUUUCUUGGUAUGGCUAGUUACUACCGACGUUUCCAGCAUAAGUUUGCAGAGGUGGCUAUUCCUUUGACGUGGUUGUUACGCAAGAAUGUGCCAUUCGAGUGGAAGAAGCCACAAGAGGAGAGUUUUGUAGCGCUGAAAUGAUUGUUGAGCGAGGCUCUAGUGCUUCGCAUUGCUGAUCCAUUGAAACCUUACGAGGUGACAUGCGAUGUGAGUGGUUAUGCACUGGGAGGAGUUUUUAUGCAAGAGGGACAGCCUAUUGCAUGUGAGAGUCGAACUUUGAAUUCCGCAAAGCAAUGUUAUUCCACAUAUGAGCAAGAGUUACUCUCUAUUGUUCAUGCUUUGUAGACGUGGCGGCACUAUCUUUAUGGUGCAGUGUUCGUGGUGUUGACAGAUCACAAACCACUUGUGUAUCUUUUCACACAGAAGGAGUUGAACACUAGACAAGCUCGUUGGAUGGUCAAACUCAUGGAGUUUGGGGAGUUUCCUAUUGAGCAUUGUCCGGGAAAAUCCAAUGUGGUGGCAGAUGCUUUAUCUCGUGUUCGUCAUAUGACGACAUUACAAACACGAUUUUGUCAUCAUUUGAGUAAGGUGGUCAGUGGGUUUGGACAGUUGGUUGAGCAUGCUCAGGCUCAGGAUGCUGAGGUGGCCUCUUUGCGUGACCAGAUGGAAGCUCCUUUCUCAUUGGUGGAUGGGAUUCUCUAUUACAAUGGCCGUGUAUAUUUGCCACGGGUGGAUGCGUUAAUUACUCAAGUUUUAUUCCACUAUCAUGAUCGUCCAGAGGCCGGUCAUUUUGGGGGGAAGAAGACGUAUAAAUUGAUUAAGCGCAACUUUUAUUGGAGGAAUAUGAAGGUUGAUAUCCUCAAGUAUUGUAAAUCAUGCGAGCUUUGUCAGCGGGUUAAGGUGCCACGAGAGAAGCCGGGGGGACUUUUGCAACCUUUACCUAUUCCUCAGAGCCGUUGGUGUAGUAUCUCUAUGGACUUCAUCACUUGUUUGCCACGAACACAGAGGCAAAAGGAGCAAGUAUGGGUUAUAGUGGAUCGGUUGACAAAGUAUGUGCGGUUGUUGGCUCUUCGGAAGAUUGUCACUGCCUCAGACUUGGCUGCGGUUUACUUGGAGAAGGUUUUUCCUGAUUUUGGUUUGCCAGAGGACAUCAUUAGUGAUCGAGAUUCAAAGUUCACCAGUGGAUUUUGGAAAAGCUUUGCAAAGGUUAUACAAGUGACUUUGAAACUCUCGAGUGGAGAUCAUCCUUAGACGGAUGGGCAAACCGAGCGUGUAAAUCAAAUGGUGGAGGAUAUGCUACAUUGUAGCAUUGGUCAAAGGCAAGGACAGUGGGAUUUUUAUCUUCCGUUGGUGCAAUUUGCUUACAACAAUAGCCAACACAGUGGAACCAAGCUAAGUCCUUACUUUGCCAUGUUUGGAAGGCAUCCUCAAAUAGUAGUGGAGUUGGGAUUGCAUUUGAGUAAAGACAUUCAAGAUAAGCUUGAUUCCAAGGCAACUGAUCUGGCCACAGAACUUGAUGAGAUCUUGGUGGUGUGCAAACAAAAUUUGCAAGCAGCUCAGGAUAGAGCGGAGAAGUUUGCCAAUGAGCAUCACCAAUUCCAGGAAUAUAAGGUGGGUGGUCUGAUCUUUGUACGCGUGAUCUUUCCGUCAAGUGAGCGGUAGAACACCUUGGUGCCUUUACGGACAGGGAAGAGUGAUAAACUUUCCCAUCGAUAUGCUAGUCCAUAUGAAGUGCUGGAGCACUUUGGUAAAGCGGCUUAUCGGGUGUGGCUGCUAGCUGGGGUGAAAAUUCAUCCGGUAUUUUAUGUCAGCCAGUUGAAAGGUGUACUAUUUCGGAGUGACGGGCCCAAUGCCUCCUUGAUGUAUACAGCUGUGGAAGAUGGACCAGAAGCUUGAGUAGGAUUCCCUAGAAAGGGUGAUCACAAAUUCAACUCGUCCUUGGGACAAGGACUUUGUUGGGGGGGAAGAAUUGUUAGGCGCCAGCUUUGACUACGUGGUCAACGUCAGUCAAAAGGGGGCUCAAGGGUAUAUGAAGGCAUGUUAAGGUAAGGGACUUAACCUACCCUAGGGCUCACAGUGGAGUGGCGGCGCAAUGGAGCUUUUGAGGUAGUUUGGGGGUGGUUGGGUGGUGAGGUGGUGUAGCAUAAUCUAGGGCAACUAGAUUUUUGUCUUUUUGCGCCGGAUCAUAACAGUAUCUGAGUUGCAGUUGACAGCAAAGUUCAACACAUGAGAGUCCUUGGAGGAUACUUUCCAGUGGAACACCGGUAGUUUCGGAGUAUUUCGAUGUUCUAAUUUCCUGCCUGCCAAAAGCAUCAACCAUGCUUCAUGAAAGAACCAUAAAGAACUUACCAAUUCCCGUUCUGAACUUUGAGUAAACACCUAUCAUCGUUUCAUCCUGCGACAAAUAUCCAAGAACAAAGCUCUCACCAUUCUUUAGUUUUAAACUUGAGUAGACGGGUGAAGAUCCCAACCUUUUCGAUCUAGCAGCAGCAGUAGCAAGCAGCCUUGGCAGCUCCCGCAGCAGCGUAGACACCAGUAAUUCUCGUCGCCACAGCAUCGAGGAUCAUUGCUCUCCGCUCAAAGAACGACUUUGCCACUUUCAGCUUCUCGGAUCCCCAUAGGCUUGUAGACGAUCCCGGCAGCUAGCCGCUGCUUCAUGACCUUGGCUGGACGAACGUAAGCAUCGCCCAGCUUGGCCUUCAAUCUCUUUGGCACCUGAAAAUCCGAUCGACCACCACCACCGCCCCCCGCUUUGUUGCGCUUGCCCGGAUUCUUGGAGCCGGUGCUCUCGCCGUGCAAGGACGAAGAAUUUGCUGGAGCCACACCAGCAAGCGCCUUGUCUUGCUCUUUGAUCCCUUCCUUCUUGGUGUGCUCGGACCAGAGAUCGCGCGAUGCGAACAAUGCUGAGUACGUGGGGCUCUUCUUGGCGUAGAGGAAGGGAUUGGGAGAGAUCCACCUCGUGGAUGUAGAGGCGCAACGAGCGAGCUCCACUGCAAGAAUAUCGAUAUCGAGGAUGACAAGAAAAGCCAUUUCUUAUGCCUGAUUAAAGUAUAAUUCCCAGACAAGACUUAGGAUUUAUAAUUACUCAAAAGAAAAGUCCACGGUAGACUUUUCCCACGCUGCAAAGCAAUGGAGCGGCGCUAGUGGUGAUCACCGACGAGCAUGGCAGCAGCGAAUUUGCUCGAGGCGAUUCGAAUCGCGGACAAGGUUGGCACAAGAUCCACGAACACAAACUCGAGCAAGGUCUGUAGAAACCAAUGUAGGAUCCUCAUCGCGGCGGUCGGCUAUGUCCGAGACUAUCUCAAGCAAAUCCAGGAUCUCAACUUCGCGAGCAACAGGCGAGCCUUCGUAUGGGACGAAACCGUGGCUGUCCUUAAAAGAGGCCUCCAUCUCCUCAAGUCAUGCCAAGAGGGCGAUUGGAUCGCUCGGAGCCUGCUGUUUGAGGAAAGCUGCGAUGAUUUCCAGAGCAUUUACGCCGAGAUCUACAACUGCGUCGAGCUCGUCAGCGUCUAUCUCUUUCAGCUGGCACCGUCCACCUCGCACAGAUCCAGGAUUGCCGAGGCUUACAACUCGUGCCUCAUGAGGCAGAAUUCGAGCAGCAUGCUGGAAGAAGCCGGAAGGAACGAUCGGAAGGAGCUCAUGGCUCUCGCAAUGAACCAAGAGCCGGGAAGCCUGACGACCGAGACAGAACGAGCCAAAGAGAUACUCUGCUCCAUGCUCCUGGGAAACAAGUCAGUGAUCAACCACAAGGAACUCAAGCUGAGAACACACCUGGGACAAGGAGCUUACGGAACCGUGUACGAAGCAAUCUGGCUCGGUCACAAGUUCGCGGUGAAAGUCUUCGCUCAAGGUGACACCAGCUUCGCCAAAGAGCUCGCGGUUCUCGGAGCUCACAAGCAUCCCAACGUGUUGCACAUUGCCGGCCAUUCUUUCGAUGGAGAGAAGCGGCAGUACUCGCUGGUGAUGGAGAAGAUGGACAUGGACCUGGCAAACUACCUCCUCAAGAAGAACUCCCUCUCGUUGCUGUCGAUCGUGGCAGUGAUGCUCCAAGUCGCUACUGGCAUGGCUUGGCUUCACUCGAAGAACGUAAUCCACCGGGACCUCAAGCCGCAGAACAUCUUGGUUGGCGAAGAAGACAACGAUCUCGUGAGUAUCAGGAUUGCCGACUUUGGAGUCUCGAGGCCCGAUUUCAUCUCCUCCCUCAUCAGCGAAGCCACCCCCAAGCAAGGCACCAGAAACUUCAUGGCACCAGAAGUGUGGACCAGCGAGCGCUACACGAAGAAGGCCGACGUUUACAGCUACGGGAUGCUGAGCUACCAGCUUGUCACUGGAAACAUUCCGUUCAAGGUCGGGAUGGACAUGGAGCAAGUCCUUCGAGGCAAGCGUCCUGAGAUACCAGCCACCUGUCCAGAGUUCCUGUCGCAGCUCAUGCGGGAAUGCUGGAACCACGAUGCGAAAGAGAGGCCUUCCUUCUCGGAUAUCUGCGAGCGGCUGAAGCAGCUCAAAUCCAGGAUCAUCACUGGCACCGACUCCACCGACGAGCUACGAGCCAAGUUGGUUGAAGCAGCCAGGUCAUCUUCCUCUUCUUCGUACUCGUCGUCUUCCUCGUCCUCGUCGCACAGCAGGACUCGAGUAAACCUGGAUUCUCUUGUCCAAGCGACUGAGAAGCUUUGGACCCAAAAUCCCCCGCCUUCCCGUGUCCAGGUAAACUCUUUUGCUUUAUGUAACUUCUGGAGCUCACCACCUUUGGGUUCAGCCGGUACCACACCGUCCUCACCACGUCGCACCAUUACCAAAACCAGAUAAAAGGACCGAGCUCUUCGAACUGGUAAAGAACGGCCUCAUCAUAAACGCCUUCGAGAAAGCUCUGUCCCUGAACGAUCCUUCCACAGUCUGGUGGCUUUGCACCAAGGUAAUCUGUUUACGCUCUCUGGCCGCUGAUCACGCCCGUCUUUUGUCAACUCAGGUAGAGCAUACCGUGCUGCUUGUCUUCAGUGAAUCGAUGCUCAUGGCACUGGCCGAGAAAAUCAACACCAACUUCACGGAAGACACUGCUCGCAGGCUGGUCUGGAUCGACGGGAUUGGCGGCUUGCUGUUGAAAGACGCCAAUGGAUGGGCAUCACCUCGGAAGAUGAGGAUCCUGGAGCAGCUUUCACAGAACCUCCACGGUAUGAUGGCCAUAACACCACCAAAGAGUGAGCUGCGCAUGACCUUGACGAACAUGCUGGAAGGCACCAACAUGUGGCUGCAGGUUCGUACAUAUGAAGCUCUUCGUUUCUUUCGUUUCCAUCUCCUUGAUUCACAUCGUUUUGUUGCAGCGUGUCCGGGUUGCAGUGGAAAACAAAGUUCGAUACAUGAGCAUCGCUGGCGGAUACUUUCCAGCGGAACACCGGUAGUUUCCCUGGCAUAAAACAUGCUUCACCUUACCCUGUACCGCUUAUCUCCUGCCAGCAAAACUUACGAGAAAAAGAAUGAGCUCACCUGUUUUCUACAGCCGUGACCUCUGGCAAGCUGAAGAUCUUGCUCUCCGAGUGAAAUCGCUUGCUCGCUCGCCCAAACCCUAAUUUCGCUCAGUUAAUGUUUUCUUGAAUUCUCACAUUACACAUAUUAGGAGCCCAACAGAAGGGUGAAUCAGUGUAUUAUGCGAUAAAUUGCCUCUCUAUUUAGUUCUGGUCAAGUAGAACAAUCAACAUCAUCAUUGUCUUUUACCAUGUUUAUUGUGUCUAGCAGCAUCACUAAUGUAGGUCAGAAAAUUAUGCAAAUAAUCCGGAGGCUUAGAAUGAAGCUAAAUUGGACAUAUCUUUAAGAAGCCAAACGCAAUGCAUAACCUCUUGAGCUGUUUGUUGCAGAAGUUAGUUGCAUUGAGUUUUUCUCUUCCUUAGUUUUCAACAUGGUAUCCGAGAUCACGGAUUAGAUCCUGGCUGAAUGGAGGAGGAAGACGACUGAUCUGGAGCGGCAGUUUUCUUAUUUAGGCAACCCUAAAUUGGAGGCAGUUCUUGAUCGAGUCCGGCCUGGAUUUGAAUUGAAAGGGUUGCGGCACUGCUUGCUACCGCUGGAGAUGAUCUGAUGUCCCUGCUGCUACAAGGGAAGGCUUCCUUGGGCUGGAGAUUUGCUGAUGCUGCCGAGAGGCUUCUCUUCUUGCUGGGCACUAGGCGUGGAAUUGCUGUGCGCAAAGGGCCUUGAGGCUGAUGGAGAGAUCACAUUUGACUGGGGGAGAUGGAGCAAGAUGCUGGUUCCUGACAGGUCCUGAUACAAGCUGGGCUGUGUGCAAGCUUGGGUACUUUGGAACGUGCUGCUGCUACUGUUCAACACCACAAGAUGCUGAUUUCAUGAGCUCAGCUUUUCUCAUUUUACCAUUAGUUUUUUUUUUUCUGAUCCAUGGCCUCGGCUGACUGGAGGAUGCAGUACAUCCACGUGGUGACACGUGGCAGAUCUGAGCGAUAGAGGUUUUUUUUCUUUUCUUCCUUAGUUUUCUACAUGGACAACACAAGUAGCCUGUGAAUUAUUUAGGUACAACAGAAGAGGAUCUAGCCCAGCUUGAUUAGAAAUUUCCACUGUUGGAGCCUACAUGAUCUCUUUUUGUUGGAGACACUUCCAAAUGCUGAAUUAAGCCAUACUGACAGUCAUGAAUAGACUCUAGCCACCUGCAACAUAUGUCAAUAAAGCACUUUCUACUGUUGAUGAUUACUUACAUAACAAUGCUGAAUCAAUGGUGCUUGACAUACACCUCAGGAUCUUCAUCUUGCUCCAUGAUCUCAAGUUGUGUGCAGUCGAUGCAUUCUGCAACAUUUGGAAGCUUGCAUGUGAGGAAACCCUGGAUAACCAUAGCUAAAUCUUCCAAGAACUUGAUCAAAAGUCUUCAAGAGUAUCAAUGAUUGCUUUACAAGUCUCAUUCCUAGUCACUGUACUUUCGCCAAUUCUGCAGAGCUCUAAGAGUGUGAUAUACUUGGCUCCACUUCAUAGCUUGUACAAAGUACAACCCAGACUUACACAAAAACUGCUCUACGAUAGUUGAUAUCUUGCUUUAGAAUGUGAUGGUGUAGGAGAUGCACAAUACUAUUAAAUGUUGUCUUUGCCAUGCCAGAGUUUUGCUUCCAACGAGAACAUAGAAGCAUAAGGAAGAAGAUGAAUAACUUGAUGUCCAUGGCUUUCUCAAUGAGAACCUGUAGGAAAAAUCUUUACUCAAGAACAAGAACAAAAGUAUUUCAAAAAGACUAUACCCAAAUGCAAGCUACACAAUCUUACCAUGCCACUUCUGCUACUGCAUCAAGACUGUGAUCUUGGUUGGCCAAGUUGUUGUUUUGUGUUAGCAGCUCGCUCAUCUUCCAUAUGCUGUGUCUCAAACUCCCUCUCCUCAGCUACACAUUAUCUCUCCUUUGCCAAAUGCUACUCCUCAAAUCGUAUAAAAUCUUGGUGCCAAGCACGCUCCUUUAUCUCCAUAUGUUGCUUCAUCCUCAUCUUCUCUGCUUCUCUCAUUUUCUUGUACUUGGCCUGAGUGCUUCCACCAUCAACUCAGUUUUCUUCCUUCCCUUCAGUCUUCAAGAUGAUUUUUGCUAUCUAUCUCUAGUAACAUAGAGUGGAAUCAUCCCAGCUUCAUUGUCUCUAUUACUUCCAUGCAUUGUACCACUUUGCACAUGAUGUUUUAGUGCCAUGUGACUACUUCACACUAGUUCAACUGGCUGCUGUCUAUGAUAUUCAUGGGCUUGAUAUCUAGCCUGAAUAAAGAACUUGCUGUAGCUCGUCAAACAUUUCUCGCGUGAUCCUCAUUUGUAGUUUCUCUGGGAUCAAAGCUUGCUUCCCGUGCACAUUAGGUACUCUUGUUAUAUUUUCUACUCUACUGUUGAGAAGCUUCAGUAAGAUGCACUCCCACUUCUUGGCUAUCGACACCAUCUUUUCUCGUUGAUCUAUGUUCGUUGACUCAUCUUUAAUCUCAUGGAGCUUCACAUUGAUGAGGAGCAUAAUUUCUACAAGAGACCAAUUUGGCAAGUGAUCUCUUGCUAGUAAAGUUCUUGCUUUUGUUAGUGACGGCCUUAGUAGCAGCAACAUGAAGAGAUGGCCUAGACCCGCCAACAGCAAAAGCAACCUCAGUAGCAACAAGAGAAAUUUCUGCCACUGCAAGCUUUUCUAUUACUUUGAAAGUUCUAAAAAUGCUUGUUUACCUCUAAAGUUCUUAUGCUCCUCAUAAAAAUCCUUGGCAAGCACAAGUGCUAGAACUUCCAAGGAAUGUGAAGUGGAAAAAUUGAUAAAUCACUUUUUUACUUAGAAUUCUUGCUGGUAUAGCUGCUCCCAAAUUCUGGCAACAAAUUGAUGCGCUCCCGCUGCAAAGCAAUUCAAUCAAUCCACACUAAGAACUAAGAGCUAGCAUACCCUAGAUCCGGCCAGCAAUUGCUGAGCAGAGUAAAUACCUAAUACUAGCAUUGAAAGAGCCAAGGCACCCCAGACGACAUUGUCAAUGCCAUUGGCAAAUUGCCAAGAUGCCAAGCCCAGUAUGCAGAUGUCUAGCUAAAAAUAUAUGGCACCAUAUGAAUUAAUUUUUUAUUAGUGGCAUAUUUUAUUUAUAAUAUAAAUUCUGAAUAAAUAACAGUCAUUAAUCCCCAGUUAAGUCAUCAGCUUUGAUCCCAGCUAUGUAUGAUUCCUUUUGCUCUUGUGAGCCAUCUAAAUUGCUGAAAAUUGAUGUUUUAUUAGUUCUUAUGUUUAUAUAUGGAUCUGGAAAUAUUGAGAAUCCAAAAGCACCCAAAAAAGGGAAAAUCCUAUUUUAAUAUCCAACUUAUGAUUUGGGGGAUCAAAGGGUUAUUAAAAUAGGAAAGUAUAAAUUAUUUUCCCUUUUUAGGUAUAGAUUAUAUCCAAUGCUUGGAAUAUGGAAAGGGAAUACAGAAAAUGUACAUAUCAAUUAAUAAAAUAUCAAUUUUUAGCAAUUUAGAUGGCUCAUUCUUUCUCUCUCUCAAAGAAGAACAUGUAUCACAUAUUAGUAGGAGCAAAAAAAUAUCACAAAAAUACAUCCACUAUAUUACUUACAAGAGUAACUUCAAUAUUAUACAACAAGUGAAAAAGGUUGAGGACUAAUGUUUACCAUACAUGUGUGACAUAUAUAAUGAUGUACUUUAAAUUCUGUUAAUUCCAUAUCACCAUUUAUACAAUAUUUUCUUGUAGUGUUAAAGUGAUAUAAAAAAUAUAUUUAACUUUUCUUUUACUACAUAGGCUGUGAUAUCUACCAUGGAUCAAGCUUCCAUGAUUAGUCACCUUAAACAGACUUCUACAAGCGUAUUAGAAGAAGAAGUUCAGACUCUUAAACAACUUUACCUAAGAAUAUAAAAUCCAGUUCAAAGAGGAAAGUAUGCCUUUUAUAGCCUUAUUAAACAUAUUAUUCCCCAGGAGCAAUGGAUAUUUCUGCACGCCCACAUUGGCAAGUUGGAUCAAACACAAUCACUUAGCAAGUUGGCCUCAAACACAAUCAUGUUUCUCCAAUAACUACACCAAUAGCACUACUUCUACAACUCCACCAAAAAAAUAUCAAUAGCAUUACCCCUUGAUCUUGCCACUAUGGAGAACAAAACGUGCCAUGAUACUAGUUUAUAUUUUCGAAGCGCAACUACACAUGAAAUUUCGAAAAGUCAACAAUCAUUUUCCAGGAUAUAGCUUUCCAACAUCAAUCGGCGCUGGUGGUGAUUGCAUGGCAGCGAAAAGUUUGGCCCAGGCAAUUCGAAUCUCGGACAAAAUUGCCGCAAGGUCCACGAACACAAACUCGAGCAAGGUCUGUAGGAACCAAUGUAGGAUCUUCUUAGCAGCGGUCGGCCAUGUCCGAGACUACCUCAAGCGAAUCCAGGAUCUCAACUUCGCGAGCACUGGGACAGCUUUCGUGUGGGACGAAACCGUGGCUGUCCUUAAGAGAGGCCUCCAUCUCCUCAAGUCGUGCCAAGAAUGCAAUUGGAUGGCGCGGAGCCUGCUGUUCAAGGAAAGCUGCGAUGAGUUCCAGAGCAUUUAUCCCGAGAUCUUCAACUGUGUCGAGCUCGUCAGCGUCUAUCUCUUUCAGCUGGCACCGUCCACCUCGGUAAGAUCCAAGAUUGCCGAAGCUUACAACUCGUGCCUCAUGAGGCAAAACUCGAACAGCAUGCUGGAAGAAGCCGGAAGGAAUGACAGGAAGGCGCUCAUGGCUCUCGCAAUGAGCCAAGAGCCGGGAAGCCUGACGACCGAGAGCGAACAAGCCAAAGAGAUACUUUGCUCCAUGCUCCUGGGAAACAAGUCAGUGAUUAACCACAAGGAACUCAAGCUGACAACACACCUGGGACAAGGCGGUUUCGGAACCGUGUACGAAGCAAUCUGGCUCGGUCACAAGUUUGCAGUGAAAGUCUUCCCUCAAGGUGACAAGAGCUUCGCCAAAGAGCUCGCGGUUCUCGAAGCGGACAAGCAUCCCAACGUGUUGCACAUCGCCGGUCAUUCUUUCGAUGAAGAGAAGCAGCGGUACUCGCUGGUGAUGGAGAAGAUGGACAUGGACCUGGCAAACUACGUCCUCAAGAAGAAGAACUCUCUCCCGUUGCUGUCGAUCGUGGCAGUGAUGCUCCAAGUUGCUACUGGCAUGGCAUGGCUUCACUCGAAGAAUAUAAUCCACCGGGACCUCAAGCCGCAGAACAUCUUGGUUGGCGAAGAAGACAACGAUCUCGUGAGUAUCAG
Molecule: long non-coding RNA, 36758 nt
Filed under: Selaginella moellendorffii
Lineage: Eukaryota; Viridiplantae; Streptophyta; Lycopodiopsida; Selaginellales; Selaginellaceae
Description: long non-coding RNA (SMOE_LNC001497)
Source: RNAcentral